Equus caballus (horse) is the source of this 2398-nucleotide long non-coding RNA. RefSeq lists it as uncharacterized. Lineage: Eukaryota; Metazoa; Chordata; Mammalia; Perissodactyla; Equidae. The record is from RefSeq and is a predicted model, not a curated record.
AAUAUGAGUAUUUUUUGAUGGUAUGUCUGCAUUUUCAAAAACUCCAUUAAUUUUUUCGUGUUAUUCAGGGAAAAUCAGACUCUGGUGAAACUGGCUUGCACUAACUAAAUUCACAAGAGCCUGGUUGAUAAACCAGAUUGUCAGUUAACUAUUUUGGAGUGGAAAAAAAUGGAGAUAUUAAGGAGUCUGAAACAUUCAUCUUCUCAGGUCAGUAUUUUCUCUCACUUAUGGGUAAGUCAGCCUGAGAAGCUGAAUCAUUAUUGAAAAGUUGCUUGGGAAAAACAAAGUCAGAAUAAAGAGAACUGGAUGAUCUUAAUGAGAAGUGUCAUUAUAAAGAACUAACUGAAGUUGAAAUGAUUUGGAUAGAAUGUUUAUGUCUUUUUCGGAGGCUCAGACUGCAUAUUCUCAGCGGAAUUUUAAAACUUCUCUUUUCAAUGCAUUCUGGUGAUAAUGCUCAAGUCCCCACGGAAAAACUCACCUCUAAAUUAUAUUUUAAAGGUCAUUUGUCAGUGAUUCAUUUGCUAGAGCCAGCUGGUUUGGUCUGAAUUUUGGUGUGGCUUCACUCUCAUUUCUUUUAUAAUAAAGUUGUACCAGUACAAUUAAGAGAGGUUUCCCUCAUAAUAUUUUUCUAUCAGCUUUCACUUCUGUCUUUAAACACUGUUAUCUACUUCCCCUGCCGCUGACCUUUACCUGUAUGUCAUUCGGUUCAUUAUGCCACAGACUGGCUGCUUUGGAAAUGCUGAAAUAUCUCGCUCCACUGCAAAUACAAUGCGUUAGCUCUGUUUCGUUGGCACUCACUGCUUUAACACUUCACGAGCAACCCAGUUGGACUGAAGGACAAGAUCUCUGCCUUGUGGAUCCUCCACCAAUUUUUUUUUAUUGUAAGAAUGACGUUAAGGAGGGAUACUGAACAAACUGCACUUCCCAAUGUUUCCAUGGACAGAAUUUGAGAGUUCAAGGUCAUGGUUAAAUUUAUUAGCAAUACUAGAUUCAUCAGGAACUGGAUGUCAUGCUCUCUCUUUUAAUCUUCAUAUCUUUAGCACCUCUCACAAUGUCUGGCAGAGAACAAGUGCUGGGAGACAAUUCUCCAUGGGCUUCUCACACUCUACACACCUUUCGAGUAGCGUCAUUGACUGCCUUUGUUCUGGACUGCUUUUCAAGGAUGUUUGUAUAAGAAAGUGCUUUGGAAGAGUGAGGAGGUGUCUCCCUCAGGAGCAAUGAGCAGGCGUGCUUACUGUUCAGUAUAAAAGAUUCCAUAAGCUCGGAGUUCCUCUCAAAUGCUGACACUGCCUGCUGCUACUGUGAGGUGGCUGUGUUUUUCUGUCGGUUUUAGAAUGCCUGACAAAUCUGAGCCUGGAAACCCUUUACCGAAAGGAGGUGAUCCAGUCUUUCUACAUGGCAGAUGGCCAAGCUGCCGCCUGUUACCUCCUGUUAAUAGUGACUCCAAGAGUCUGGCAGAGAGCUGGUGCCAGCCCGUGAAGAAUGAUUCCACCAGUGCCGACUGAAUUUGUGAGCGUUUGUGAUGCAACAGAAGUGGAGACAAGACAGGAGUGUGUUUGCUCUUACUGGAAUAGGCUGAAUUUCACUUCCAGAAGAGGAAAAGCUAAAAGUAUAAGGAAAGGCAAGAGCCAAAGAAGUCUCAGAGAGAGAGUUUUGCUGGGGGUGUGGACGGAGGAGUGGUGAGAGGUGAGACCCUCAGGGCCCUGCAAGGCGGGCUGUGGUUCCAAGGCCAGGUGGAGACUGGAUUUCAAGAAGUGUUGCCACAGGCUGUGUACUGAUUCCUUUGCCAGACUCUAGUAAGGAGCUUUUAAAUGUUAGAUUUUAUUUAAUUUUUGAAUAGAUUAUACAUUCACAUGGUUCAAAUCUUUAAAUGUACUGAGAGGUUUAUCAGGAAAAAGUCUCGCCAGCGCUCCAGGCCCCAGCCACCCACCUCUCAUCCAUGGAGGCCACCACAUUACCAGCUGCCUGUCUAUCUUCCGGAGGCGUUUUAUGCACAUACAAGCAGAUAGACAUUUGUAUUACGUAUUCACCCCACUCAGUUUUUAUACAGGUGGCAUCAUCCUACACAGAUUCUUCUACACGCUGCUUUACUGUCCUGUCAAUAUCUGCGAUGUUGUUUCAUUUGAUUAGAUAAAUGAUUCCCCAUUCUUUUUUUGCAGCUGCAGAGUAUUGCAGCGUAGCAACGUACAAAUAUUUUUUAGCUAGUCCACCCUUUUGGCUGCUUCCAAUCGCUUUUAUAUACAUGACACCAUGAAUUACCCUAAUCUUAACUUCUUUGGUACGGUGCACACCUUUGGCAGUCCGCUAAAACCUAUGAAUUUCUUCUCACCAUAAUGUUUUCAAGAGUAUAAAAUAAAAUCCUUAGGAUUAAAAGGAAAUCAAUUAUACUGAAAUAUAG